AACGCUAGCUACAGGCUUAACACAUGCAAGUCGAGGGGCAGCAUGGUCUUAGCUUGCUAAGGCCGAUGGCGACCGGCGCACGGGUGAGUAACACGUAUCCAACCUGCCGUCUACUCUUGGACAGCCUUCUGAAAGGAAGAUUAAUACAAGAUGGCAUCAUGAGUCCGCAUGUUCACAUGAUUAAAGGUAUUCCGGUAGACGAUGGGGAUGCGUUCCAUUAGAUAGUAGGCGGGGUAACGGCCCACCUAGUCUUCGAUGGAUAGGGGUUCUGAGAGGAAGGUCCCCCACACUGGUACUGAGACACGGACCAGACUCCUACGGGAGGCAGCAGUGAGGAAUAUUGGUCAAUGGGCGAGAGCCUGAACCAGCCAAGUCGCGUGAAGGAAGAAGGAUCUAUGGUUCGUAAACUUCUUUUGCAGGGGAAUAAAGUGCAGGACGUGUCCUGUUUUGUAUGUACCCUGAGAAUAAGGAUCGGCUAACUCCGUGCCAGCAGCCGCGGUAAUACGGAGGAUCCGAGCGUUAUCCGGAUUUAUUGGGUUUAAAGGGUGCGUAGGUGGUUUAAUAAGUCAGCGGUGAAAGUUUGCAGCUUAACUGUAAAAAUGCCGUUGAAACUGUUAGACUUGAGUGUAAAUGAGGUAGGCGGAAUGCGUGGUGUAGCGGUGAAAUGCUUAGAUAUCACGAAGAACUCCGAUUG
This 694-nucleotide ribosomal RNA is filed under the name uncultured bacterium. Its description in RNAcentral is "bacterial SSU rRNA". It matches the Rfam family "Bacterial small subunit ribosomal RNA", at positions 32 to 715 of the family's 1533-position model. The record is from RNAcentral.